This is a long non-coding RNA of Pezoporus flaviventris, 560 nucleotides long. RefSeq lists it as uncharacterized. NCBI's taxonomy places the organism in Eukaryota, Metazoa, Chordata, Aves, Psittaciformes, Psittacidae. The record is from RefSeq and is a predicted model, not a curated record. The transcript is spliced from 3 exons.
CACCCAUUGCUCCAGGAGGCUAUUUAAGAUGAGCCCUGCACCUUCCAACCCAGCUGUCUUGGAGGGACCCUUGCUUCCAGGACUGCCUCCUGCAUGGAUUUUGGCCUCAUAUUGCAGGUCCUAUCUCCAGCUCCGUUUUCUGGAUGGACUUUGGAUGACUGCUGCAGGUAGCUUGUCUUUGGUUUUCCCAGCUGAGAAGCAGCUCGGUGCAGCAUCCAUCCUCCUCUCCCUUUGCGCGGUGCCAGGGCUGAUGGUUUAGAGCAAUCCUGCAAAUAUACCGGUGAUCCCAAGUCUGAGGAUGCAGCUAAACCCCAUCAGAAGGCAUUUCUGCAGGAGUCAGAGGAUGUGUGUAACCUGCCUGGUUUUGCCUUAGUGGCAGCAUCGAUGACAUGCGGGAGCUGGUCAGAGGAGCGUCACUGCGCUGCCCUUAAUUCUCCUUGCGCAACUGAUGGUGAUCUAAUGAAUGAGGCUCAGCCAAACCCUUUUGCCUCUCUUAUGCUCAUCAAGCAAUCAUCUCCCCCGUCACGCUUUGCCUCCAAACACCUCAUUUGCAGCUGGCU